RNAcentral lists this ribosomal RNA (429 nucleotides) under uncultured archaeon. Its description in RNAcentral is "bacterial SSU rRNA". It matches the Rfam family "Archaeal small subunit ribosomal RNA", at positions 401 to 829 of the family's 1478-position model. The record is from RNAcentral.
AUCUGGCUGUCGAGAUGCCUAAAAAGCAUUUCAUAGCAAGGGCUGGGCAAGACCGGUGCCAGCCGCCGCGGUAACACCGGCGGCUCGAGUGGUAACCGUUAUUAUUGGGUCUAAAGGGUCUGUAGCCGGCCGGAUAAGUCUCUUGAGAAAUCUGGCAGCUUAACUGUCAGGCUUUCAGGAGAUACUGUCUGGCUCGAGGCCGGGAGAGGUGAGAGGUACUUCAGGGGUAGGGGUGAAAUCUUGUAAUCCUUGAAGGACCACCAGUGGCGAAGGCGUCUCACCAGAACGGACCUGACGGCAAGGGACGAAAGCUAGGGGCACGAACCGGAUUAGAUACCCGGGUAGUCCUAGCCGUAAACGAUACUCGCUAGGUGUCGGCCACGGUGCGACCGUUGUCGGUGCCGUAGGGAAGCCGUGAAGCGAGGUCCU